Molecule: ribosomal RNA, 253 nt
Filed under: uncultured bacterium
Lineage: Bacteria
Description: partial 16S ribosomal RNA
Rfam family: Bacterial small subunit ribosomal RNA
Source: RNAcentral
GACGUAGGAGGCGAGCGUUGUCCGGAGUUACUGGGCGUAAAGGGCGCGCAGGCGGCGGCGCGCGCCCCGGGUGAAAGGUCCCGGCUCAACCGGGAGACGGCCCGGGGAACGGCGCCGCUGGAGGGCGGCAGAGGCCGGUGGAAUUCCCGGUGUAGUGGUGAAAUGCGUAGAGAUCGGGAGGAACACCCGUGGCGAAGGCGGCCGGCUGGGCCGACCCUGACGCUGAGGCGCGAAGGCCCGGGGAGCGAGCGGG